CCUACGGGAGGCAGCAGUGAGGAAUAUUGGUCAAUGGGCUUACGCCUGAACCAGCCAAGUCGCGUGAGGGAAGACUGCCCUAUGGGUUGUAAACCUCUUUUGUCAGGGAGCAACGCCGGCUACGUGUAGCCGGACUGAGAGUACCUGAAGAAAAAGCAUCGGCUAACUCCGUGCAAGCAGCCGCGGUAAGACGGGUGAUGCGAGCGUUAUCCGGAUUUAUUGGGUUUAAAGGGUGCGUAGGCGGAAUGCCAAGUCAGCGGUAAAAUCGCGGGGCUCAACCUCGCUCCGCCGUUGAAACUGGCGUUCUUGAGUGGGCUAGAAGUAUGCGGAAUUCGUGGUGUAGCGGUGAAAUGCAUAGAUAUCACGCAGAACUCCGAUUGCGAAGGCAGCAUACCGGCGCCCAACUGACGCUGAAGCACGAAAGCGUGGGUAUCGAACAGGAUUAGAUACCCGGGUAGUC
RNAcentral lists this ribosomal RNA (460 nucleotides) under uncultured bacterium. Its description in RNAcentral is "partial 16S ribosomal RNA". It matches the Rfam family "Bacterial small subunit ribosomal RNA", at positions 338 to 795 of the family's 1533-position model. The record is from RNAcentral.